GAGACUCUGUGCGCGUGCAUAUCAAUAAGCGGAGGAAAAGAAACUAACAAGGAUUCCCUUAGUAACGGCGAGUGAAGCGGGAAGAGCUCAAAUUUGAAAUCUUCAAGGUUUUACCUUGACGAAUUGUAGUUUAAAGAAGUGUUUUCUGUUGGAGUUUUGGUAAAAGUUCUUUGGAAUAGGACAUCACAGAGGGUGAGAAUCCCGUAUUUGACCAUUAUUUCCAGCUGUGUGAUACACUUUCAAAGAGUCGGAUUGUUUGGGAAUGCAGUCCAAAAUGGGUGGUAAAUUUCAUCUAAAGCUAAAUAUUGGCGAGAGACCGAUAGCGAACAAGUACCGUGAGGGAAAGAUGAAAAGAACUUUGAAAAGAGAGUUAAACAGUACGUGAAAUUGUCAAAAGGGAAGCGUUUGACACCAGUGUUGUUUUCUCGAAAAUCAAUUAAAAAUGAUGGGAUUUUGUGUUGUAUUGACUUUAUCAGCUUUCUGCACUUUCUUUUCUAGUAUUAUUUAAUGCACUUUUCAGUUAACAAGUCAACAUCAAUUUCUUUUGUUGUAAAAGGGUAAUAGGAAGGUGGCUUACUCUUCGGCGUAAGUGUUUAUAGCCUUUGACCUCUACAAUCGGAGAGAUUGAGGACAGCAGCGUAGACUCUUCGGGGUUAGAUACAUUUGUGCUAAGCUAUAGCUUUUUAUAGACAACUUGUUGACUAUAUUUAGUCUUGUGGCUUACUCGCUUAUGCUAUUUUACCUACGCUUAGGAUGUUGACGAGACUGUCGAUCUCAUCUAUACAUGACUCUGUGCAUAUCCUAAGCGUAGGUAUCUGGAUCUUUAAUGCGCUUUUCCUCCGCUUAUUGAUAUGCACAGAGUCAUGUAUAGAUGAGAUCGACAGUCUCGUCAACAUCCUAAGCGUAGGUAAUAGCCCUCUUUUCCUCCGCUUAUUGAUAUGCACAGAGUCAUGUAUAGACUAUCAUCGAGCACGCGCGUGUGGCAUAUCAAUAAGCGGAGGAAAAGGAGUAUACCUACGCUUAGGAUGUUGACGAUCAGCUGAGCGCG
Molecule: ribosomal RNA, 1048 nt
Filed under: uncultured Neocallimastigales
Lineage: Eukaryota; Fungi; Neocallimastigomycota; Neocallimastigomycetes; Neocallimastigales
Description: partial large subunit ribosomal RNA
Rfam family: Eukaryotic large subunit ribosomal RNA (bases 5-795)
Source: RNAcentral